Molecule: ribosomal RNA, 210 nt
Filed under: uncultured Fragilariaceae
Lineage: Eukaryota; Bacillariophyta; Fragilariophyceae; Fragilariales; Fragilariaceae
Description: partial Bacterial large subunit ribosomal RNA
Rfam family: Bacterial large subunit ribosomal RNA
Source: RNAcentral
CUGAAAAGCGUAGUCGAUGGAAACGGGUUAAUAUUCCCGUACCUUGGAUAGCUGCGAUGGAGAGACGGAGAAGGCUAGGUGAGCCGGGCGACGGUUGUCCCGGUUUAAGCGAGUAGGGAGAGGACUUAGGCAAAUCCGGGUCCUCAAUCCUGAGACGUGACGACGACUGCUCAUUCGAGCGGGAAGUCAUUGAUGCCCUGCUUCCAGGAA